UUACGUUAAGGGCAAACUAACCGAAAGGUUAGGACGCAAAGCUACGGGUCUAAAGUCAUAACGACCAUGAUCGCCGGGCUGCCGGA
This 86-nucleotide non-coding RNA is filed under the name Bacillus sp. (in: firmicutes). RNAcentral describes it as "Bacillus sp. c-di-GMP sequence". It matches the Rfam family "c-di-GMP-I riboswitch aptamer". From Rfam's summary of the family: GEMM was predicted in a large-scale screen for bacterial structured RNA regulatory elements. Genes associated with GEMM are involved in a diverse array of functions, including chemotaxis regulation, signal transduction, secretion and chitin. Lineage: Bacteria; Bacillati; Bacillota; Bacilli; Caryophanales; Bacillaceae. The record is from RNAcentral.